Molecule: long non-coding RNA, 239 nt
Organism: Aedes albopictus (Asian tiger mosquito)
Lineage: Eukaryota; Metazoa; Arthropoda; Insecta; Diptera; Culicidae
Exons: 2
Source: RefSeq, a predicted model, not a curated record
UAAACUUUCCAUGAUAUUUACCACUAGUAUUCAGUUAGUAUUUCGUGGUAUUUUUUGUAUCAUAGCAACCUUCGCGGCAAAUAAAGGAAAGGCUCUGUUAACAGUAGCUACUCACUUGUCACUAUUUUUCGCGUGUGUGAUGUACAAAGCAAAAUGCAAAGUGUUUGCUGAAACAGGAGGAAGCAUCCUGACGCUCGGACUAAAAUGAAAGGAAAAAGCAGAUGCUUCCUCGACGUUUA